Diceros bicornis minor is the source of this 482-nucleotide non-coding RNA. Lineage: Eukaryota; Metazoa; Chordata; Mammalia; Perissodactyla; Rhinocerotidae. The record is from the annotation of a RefSeq genome assembly.
CAACGAUCAGGGCUGAACACAGACCACUCACCAUGGAGUUUGGGCUGACCGGGCUUUUCCUUCUUGCUAUUUUAAGAGGUGUCCAGUGUGAGGUGCAGCUGGUGGAGUCUGGGGGAGGCUUGGUGAAGCCUGGGGGGUCUCUGAGACUCUCCUGUGUAGCCUCUGGACUCACUGACAGUUUCUAUGCCAUGAGCUGGGUCCGCCAGGCUCCAGGGAAAGGGCUGGAGUGGGUCUCAACCAGUGGUAGUAUUGGUGGUAGCACAAACUACGCUGACUCCGUGAAGGGCCGAUUCACCACCUCCAUAGACAACUCCAAGAACACCCUAUAUCUGCAAAUGAACAGCCUGAGAACCGAGGACACGGCCGUGUAUUACUGUACUAUUGACACAGGUCUGGAGGGGGCUUUGUACUCCACCCCUGAGGAUUGGGAUGUCUUCUGCUUACAGAGGCACAGGCAGCAGCAUCGAUGGCUUUAUGACUGA